RNAcentral lists this ribosomal RNA (2530 nucleotides) under Triticum aestivum (bread wheat). RNAcentral describes it as "partial small subunit ribosomal RNA". The record is from RNAcentral. Lineage: Eukaryota; Viridiplantae; Streptophyta; Magnoliopsida; Poales; Poaceae.
UAAGUUACCAGGUCCUUCCUUCCGUCCGCCGUAUAAGGCACCUAUAAACGAACCCUCUCCUUUCUUUCUGCCUGGGGGUACGGUAAGGUAAGUUGAGUUAGGUUGAUUGAACCUUCCUUGCGCGUCGAGUCUCAGUCUCCUCCCCCGGCCCAGACCCAGUCCCAGGCCAGUCUCCGGUCGCUGCCGCGGCAGCGGGAGGGAGCUAAGGGAAGUUUGGACCGGCGGCGGGGGUUAAAGGAAGGGGAGGGGAGUUUAAACCGGCGGAGGGGAUAAAAAUAGGGGAGGAGGGGUCUAACGAGCAAGCGAGGAACAUAUAGGGUGUUCUUCUUCUCUGCCUAAGGGGACGUCGACGUCCGUCUAAGUAGCAGGGGAAGGAACGGAGGUAGGGAGGGACCUCGUUCCUUCGUCCGCCCGUGGCCGACGGCAGCAGGUGCCCCGAGCCGACAGUUGGGUGGAACCGUCGGUGGGGUGUUAGGGUUGAGGUCGAAGAGGCCGGUGGGUCCUGGCUGCUCCCGUCCCGUCCCGUCUCGUCCUGUUUGUGUAUGGUGUUGUGGUCGAGGAGGAGGAUGAGUAACCGUCUUAGACUAACUAACUAACGACUCUCCGUGGUUUUCCCUAUACCGUAGGAAGGUGGCCGGGGAGAGGCGGUACCGCCAGCGGCGGAAACGGCGGCAGAGGAGGUAGCUCGACGGACUGUUUAAGAGGGUGGUGUUGUCCGAGGGGCUGCUACAGCAGAGAGAAGGGCGGUCGUUUGGUCUCCGGUAGUGUCGUGGAAGUCGGGACGGCGACAGGCCGGACGUCAAGUACGGUGCCUUGGAGGUCCGAAAACUGGGCCGUUUCCGCGGGCAGCGCAGGGACGGCCAGUAAGUCUGCCAAAUGGUCAUGCGCUCCAAGCGGUUCUGGAGUGGCCUUGUUCUCCACCGCAAUGGCCGGUAGGGAAGGAGGAGCAGCCUACGAGACAUGGCGACCGUAGACGGCCUGGGCUCCCGCACGGUGCCGAGCGGGCUGUCCAGGGUCUGCCAACAUCAAAACGAGCCGACCGACCCGAGCUUCGUCUUCGUAGACUUCUCUAUACGGCUAACCAUGUGGAGGUCCCCCAAGGUGCGGCAGUGGAAGUGGGAGGGGUACAGGCUGUAGCAGUCGAUAUUACAGCCUCCCUUCCGGCUCUUCUUACACCUCUACGAGAGACUUGUAGAACCACUAACCCAGUCCCUCCUCCUGCCCUUCUUCUAACAAAAAGUGUGAAAGUCAUUGUGGCCGACCGAAACGAUACCGCAUUAUGACCUCUUGAACGUCGCCGUCCUAGGAAGUCGUCACCUCUUUUAGUUCCCAAGGUAUUAGCUAAGUCGCGGACAACGACAAGGCCUGAGAGUCCACACCCGAGAUCCAAAGAGUCGACGAUAGUACUUCUUUGUGUCACACCGUUGUUUUCCGCGACGUGGUUUAUGUUCCAGACUGCAGUAUCAACACCUCAGGGUCUUUCUAUAGUCUGGUCGUCGAUGGCUCCGCCAAGAUGAUAGACGUAACCUUUUCAAAAAACUAGAACAAGACUUGAUAGGCCGGCAUUUAUCCUCCAACAGACCACAAUACCUCGAAAACAGGAGUUUGGUUGGUUCGACAGGAGUCGACAUGUAUAUGUCGAGGCGUCUAGCCCAAUAGGGUCGUUUCAGCCACCUCAGUAAGCACCUCUCCGUUGCCUUUCGUCCCACGCUCCACUCCAGCACACUGAAACACAGCAGGGGAGUACAGCUGGUAAUGGCGUCGUUAGGCCCCGACAUGUGGAGAGUCGACUGGUUGAAGAACCUCCUGACGCACGACCGGGCGGCGCUCCUGAGGAGCAGCGCCAGUGGCAGACGUAUCCCACAAAGACGUCGUUAUGGUUGUAUAAGAAAGGACCACUAGGUAACUUUACAUGGUCCUAAUAUGUAGCUGAUUAAUAUGUAGACUGGGUUAAAUGAGCAAGGAACAACAACCAAGCGAACACCCAAAUACAAUCCUCCGUGUUGACAUUUUUUGCACUCCCUCUUUUCGUUUUGUUUUAAUACCAACCGAACGACAACCAAGGUCACGUGUUCGUGUUUGGUAACUAAACACACCCUCCCUCUACACAAACAAAGAAACACGUAUGAGACUUAGAGCUUACUGACCAAAUGAAAGAGAGACACACCAAGCCCGACACUAGGACGUUUAAAGAACACGGAUGACUUCUUUCAAAGAUAAAUGUAUGUACCUCAAUAAAGGCCACAAGGUUUAUAAGUCUCAACCCCGACACUUUCCUUUAUAAGUCUACAGACGACAACACGAACUCACUUACAAGACUUUACUUUACCUAGUUUACGAAGGUCACAUGGGGUUCACACUCUCGUUUUUAAUUCCUCCCUGUAGACUACGUGUUUAAUUGUCAACCGAUAUGUCUAAACUUAGUUCUGUUCAGUGACAAUUAACUAGUACUUCACUCUCGUGUUUAGUCCAUUAUGUGUUAUGUACUUCUCCGGUUUGGUACCACGUUUAGUCUAUUUCCUUGCUUGUG